GCGAGUUCACAAGCAAGUUCCCAAACCCGUGUUAACUUUACCGGCACCUUACGGUGCCCGUUGCCUGGGGCGGGCCCGGCUUCCCCUUCCCCCCCUAGCCGGGGGAGAGGGGCGCCGCCCGCCAAAGGACGCGUGGCCGCCCGAGAAACACCUAUGCAGUCUUCAGUGCCCGUCUGAGCAGACCACAGAAUGUCA
Molecule: unclassified non-coding RNA, 195 nt
Filed under: Grosmannia pruni
Lineage: Eukaryota; Fungi; Ascomycota; Sordariomycetes; Ophiostomatales; Ophiostomataceae
Description: Leptographium pruni partial ITS1
Source: RNAcentral